GUUACAUCGAUGACCAGGAAGAGUACACAUGGCUAGAGAGCCACAGCGAGCCAACGGCAGUGGGAGUUUGGCGCCGCUCAGCAUGUCGAAUGGACCUGGGAGAUACAGUCCGAGCCGGUUACCGGGGUAGGCGCUGUCGGGAUUCUUCCGCCGUUACCAGGAAGCAGGUAUCGGGCUUAUUGUCCUGUACUUAGAUUGAGCCGGGCCGGAGGAAUCUGGUCAACUAGGGUGGCACCGCGGGUUAUAGUACCCCGUCCCUUGG
RNAcentral lists this non-coding RNA (262 nucleotides) under uncultured Sporomusa sp. The record is from RNAcentral. Lineage: Bacteria; Bacillati; Bacillota; Negativicutes; Selenomonadales; Sporomusaceae.